This 76-nucleotide transfer RNA is filed under the name Vibrio parahaemolyticus. RNAcentral's name for it is "tRNA-Gly". It matches the Rfam family "tRNA". From Rfam's summary of the family: Transfer RNA (tRNA) molecules are approximately 80 nucleotides in length. Lineage: Bacteria; Pseudomonadati; Pseudomonadota; Gammaproteobacteria; Vibrionales; Vibrionaceae. The record is from RNAcentral.
GCGACACUAGCUCAGUUGGUAGAGCGCAACCUUACCAAGGUUGAGGUCACGAGUUCGAACCUCGUGUGUCGCUCCA